RNAcentral lists this long non-coding RNA (540 nucleotides) under Vigna radiata. RNAcentral describes it as "long non-coding RNA (VRAD_LNC000738)". Lineage: Eukaryota; Viridiplantae; Streptophyta; Magnoliopsida; Fabales; Fabaceae. The record is from RNAcentral.
CUAUUUGUCUACGUCUACUUUCCUAGUUGUAUUGUAUUGCUGUACUUUUACUGUUUACAAAUACAUAGUCAGAGAGAAAAAAUAAAUUGGUUUAUUGUGCUCAUCUCCCUAUUAAUAAGCAAAAUUCUUCGGGUACAAUAAAUUAAAUUACUUUCACAGCCAAGUAUGUGAUAACAUAACCUUUGCUGAGGAUGGUGAGUUUAAACAUCAAAAUGAUUCCAAGCCUUGAUCUAUAACUAUGGAGCCUCUUCUGAGUUAUGUUUCUUUUCGUUUGACAAAUGGUUUGUUUGGAUUUUUCACAAGCAAAAUUAGCUUAUGAAACUAAAAAUUUAGAGAAGCUAGGAAAGCUUCUACAAAUUAUCUUAAUGGGGAAGCUAAGUUUAACUUUUCUUAUUUCUCUCCCUUAGAAGUGCUUAUGGAGAAACUCGUCCAAACAGGUCCAAGUUUUAGUCUCCACUAUUUUUUUUUGUCAUAUCCGCCUUCUCUUCUUUCUGCUCUAGUUCUCCAUCCAAGUUCCAUUCCAUUGUGAUUGAUUAUGAA